Non-coding RNA from Zonotrichia albicollis (white-throated sparrow), 1094 nucleotides. NCBI's taxonomy places the organism in Eukaryota, Metazoa, Chordata, Aves, Passeriformes, Passerellidae. The record is from RefSeq and is a predicted model, not a curated record.
CCUCGAAGCAUGUCAAGCCCUGAACCUUAACAAGGCAAUUCUACCAACAAGGAAUUUGCCCAUGGGCAUCACUUAGAUCGUGUUUGUGAGUUGUUGUCUCUUUAAUGGAAUAAAUCUCCCUUCCGGCUAAUUUGGCUCUAAAGGAUGCAAUGAUCUAACAACAUAUGAACAGAAAGAGCAUCCUUCCUUCAGAUAUCUUUUACAUAUAUGUGAUGCAAAAUGCAGAAUAACUCCAUUCUCAAAUUAUCUUAAUGAAGGAGGAAGAUGAUGACAAUUUCUAAGGGUAUGCUGCUUCAAGUAAUUUUAUAGUUUCCAUGGACUGUCCAGGAGUAUCUCUUAUGUCACCUUUUUCAGCUAUGUGUAGGCUGAACAGAGCAAAUAUUUUAUGUUGUCUUGUAGCAGAGGAGUCACAAUGUCUGGACAAGUCCAGUCUUAGUAUUUGGGAAAGAAGCUUGUUUAGGAUUGUUUUUAACCCAGCUGAAUAGAGUCCAUUUAAAAUUGGAACCAUUGCUGACUAUUUAUAUAACUCAUUUCAAGGGUAGCUCCAGGGAGAGAGAGAAUAAUAGAUCUAACUUCUGAAAAUUAAAUUACAGUGCAUGAACAAGAAAGGAGAAAUGUUACACUGAACAGCCAGGAACAGGUGGAUGGCUCUGGUAAUGGAACAGGAGCUAAUGAUGCACCUGAGGCUGACUCAGCCCCUGCAGAACAGGGAGCAGCAGUGGCGGGAACUUCACUUUCAGAUGCACAGCAAGGAGUUGUCAUUAGUUGUCCCAUUUGCAUGGAUUCUUACUCAGAGAUUUUGCAAAGUGGACGACUGAUUGUGGCAACCAUGUGUGGCCAUGUCUUCUGCAGCGAGUGCCUCCCUGUUGCCGUGGAGACUAUCGGCGUGUGCCCAACCUGCAGGGUGGAACUUACUCCAGAUCUGUACCAUCCCAUUUAUAUAUGAGUGCUUCUGCUUCUCAGGACCGACUCAGAUGGAUCUUGGACUAUAGGGAGUGUAGAUACUUGUUUCUUUAUGUAUAUAGUUCUUCCUGUAUAUAGUUUCAUUUUUGAUCAAUUCAUUGUUAAAUAAAGUUUUGAAUAGUUGAAAUAUA